UCUUAAUCAACGCGCAUCGUCCGGCUGGCGGGCAAACGUUGCGGCCCCCAGAAGCAAUAAACUUCGGGUCUCGGCCGCGUCUAUUGCGCUGCAUUCGCGCCUCGCUGCUCGGCAAGCUUCGGAAAGCGGACUGCAACGGCAGAAUUCGUGGAACAUGGACGCGGAAACGGAAACAUCGGAAGCGGAAACACCGGAAGCGGAAACACCCGAAGCGGAAACCGGUUUGAGUGACAAUGAGGAAACAGCAGUGCACAUUAUAGGUACGCCGAAGAGAAUGGGACGAAGACUGUCUGGGUUCUGACGGUGGCAUGCUCCGGCCACCGCCAGUCGCACUUAACUACUUGAAGAGGCCGGACUUGUAUCGACAGCAUCUGCCAUGCUCUACAAAAACACACGCAACACGUGCCGCCACAUCCACAGUAACCCAUUGCCCCUUAUUCCGGCAAAUAACGUGGCCAUUGUUCAGAAGAAACUGUGAGGACUGUAAAAACUGCUUCAUUGCUCCGGCAGCACCAGCGUUUCACGGUGCUUCGAAAAGAAAGAGAAACGGUCACUAUGUCCUGGGUUCGUUCACCGCACCCUGCAUUCUUCUCGUAAAACGAGCGUGAUAUGUGCAAUUGCACAAUUAUACUCCACCGCACUAUAGUUCCGUGCACUGUAGCUAAAGAACCAGACCAGCUUUACCCCAACCAGGACACACAGUGCCCGCAGAGUCUCACUCUCCUCAGUCCCAAUACUCAGUAUGAUGUUAUCCUAAGUAGUCAAUUAAGGUUUGGCAAGGGGACAAUUUGGAGAGGCUGGAAGUAAGUGCCUCUUGCUGCUGCAUUUCACUUACGUAUUGUGCGAAAUAAA
Molecule: long non-coding RNA, 852 nt
Organism: Dermacentor albipictus
Lineage: Eukaryota; Metazoa; Arthropoda; Arachnida; Ixodida; Ixodidae
Source: RefSeq, a predicted model, not a curated record